This 373-nucleotide long non-coding RNA is filed under the name Salvia miltiorrhiza (redroot sage). Its description in RNAcentral is "long non-coding RNA (SMIL_LNC010514)". The record is from RNAcentral. Lineage: Eukaryota; Viridiplantae; Streptophyta; Magnoliopsida; Lamiales; Lamiaceae.
ACCGAAUUGGGAUCACAUUUCGGGGAUGAUGCCGUAAUACUCACUGAAAAUGAUUCCCGCUUCUGUUUAGAUAUUGCAAGUACGAAAGAUGGCAAUUUUAUAACAGUGAAUUCUAAUUCAAGAACAUCAUCUGAGGAAAGAACUAUUGUUUCCGAGCUCUCUUGUCUGUUUGCGUUAAUGUAAAUUAUGAAGGUGGAUUCUGCUUGUAAUUUUGUGUUAAUUCUCUUGCUGUACUGCAGGUUUGGUUCAUAAAUGCGAGCAAUCCGCAUACUGGGCUACAAAGGUUUUGUCGUCGUGUCUGUGGAGUUCAGUACUUUCUGGAGCAUCAUCGUGGCAUUUUUUAUGUCCUUACUAAUGCUCCUACGAGUAAACA